Molecule: ribosomal RNA, 429 nt
Filed under: bacterium
Lineage: Bacteria
Description: partial 16S ribosomal RNA
Rfam family: Bacterial small subunit ribosomal RNA
Source: RNAcentral
UAGGGAAUCUUCCACAAUGGACGCAAGUCUGAUGGAGUAACGCCGCGUGAGUGAAGAAGGUUUUCGGAUCGUAAGGCUCUGUUGUUGGUGAAGAAGGAUAGAGGCAGUAACUGGUCUUUAUUUGACGGUAAUCAACCAGAAAGUCACGGCUAACUACGUGUCAGCAGCCGCGGUAAUCCGUAGGUGGCAAGCGUUGUCCGGGUUUAUUUGGCGCACAGCGAGCGCAGGCGGAAUGAUCAGUCUAAUGUGAAAGCCCACGGCUGAACCGUGGAACUGAAACGGAAACUGUCAUUCUUGAGUGCAGAAGAUGAGAAGUGAAUUCCAUGUGUCGCGGUAGAAUGCGUAGAUAUAUGGAUGGACACCAGUGGCGAAGGCGGCGCUCUGGUCUGCAACUGACGCUGAGGCUCAAAAGCAUGGGUAGCGAACAGG